GGAGGGAUGUCCGAGCGGCUUAAGGAGACGGUCUUGAAAAUCGUUGACUGAAAGGUCCGGGGGUUCGAAUCCCUCUCCCUCCGCCA
This 86-nucleotide transfer RNA is filed under the name Deltaproteobacteria bacterium. Its description in RNAcentral is "tRNA-Ser". It matches the Rfam family "tRNA". Rfam says of the family: Transfer RNA (tRNA) molecules are approximately 80 nucleotides in length. The record is from RNAcentral. Lineage: Bacteria; Pseudomonadati; Myxococcota; Myxococcia.